RNAcentral lists this unclassified non-coding RNA (253 nucleotides) under uncultured Xanthobacteraceae bacterium. RNAcentral describes it as "contains 16S-23S intergenic spacer region". It matches the Rfam family "Bacterial small subunit ribosomal RNA", at positions 524 to 776 of the family's 1533-position model. Lineage: Bacteria; Pseudomonadati; Pseudomonadota; Alphaproteobacteria; Hyphomicrobiales; Xanthobacteraceae. The record is from RNAcentral.
UACGAAGGGGGCUAGCGUUGCUCGGAAUCACUGGGCGUAAAGCGCACGUAGGCGGCUUCUUAAGUCAGGGGUGAAAUCCUGGAGCUCAACUCCAGAACUGCCUUUGAUACGGGGAGGCUUGAGUCCGGGAGAGGUGAGUGGAACUGCGAGUGUAGAGGUGAAAUUCGGAGAUAUUCGCAAGAACACCAGUGGCGAAGGCGGCUCACUGGCCCGAUACGGACGCUGAGGCACGAAAGCGUGGGGAGCAAACAGG